RNAcentral lists this RNase P RNA (391 nucleotides) under Gemmatimonadota bacterium. RNAcentral describes it as "Gemmatimonadetes bacterium (activated sludge metagenome) RNase P RNA component class A". It matches the Rfam family "Bacterial RNase P class A". From Rfam's summary of the family: Ribonuclease P (RNase P) is a ubiquitous endoribonuclease, found in archaea, bacteria and eukarya as well as chloroplasts and mitochondria. Its best characterised activity is the generation of mature 5'-ends of tRNAs by cleaving the 5'-leader elements of precursor-tRNAs. Cellular RNase Ps are ribonucleoproteins. Lineage: Bacteria; Pseudomonadati; Gemmatimonadota. The record is from RNAcentral.
CGGGUAGGACGUGAUGAUCGCGGGGUCGAGGCAACUCGACACCGAGGAAAGUCCGAGCUCCAGAGGGCAGAUCGCCAGGUAACGCCUGGGCGCCGUGAGGCGACGGACAGGGCAACAGAAAGCAAACCGCCGAUGACCCCGAGAGCUUGCUCAGAGGGCACAGGCAAGGGUGAAACGGUGGGGUAAGAGCCCACCGCUCCGCACGUAAGUGUCGGAGGCACGGUAACCCCCGGUCGGAGCAAGGCCAAAUAGGCGGCGAGGUGCGGCCCGCACCGCUAUAGCCGCGGGUAGGCUGCUCGAGGCGUUCGGUGACGAACGUCCCAGACAGAUGAUCAUCCGGGCCGGGUCACACCGGCACGAACAGAACUCGGCUUACGGUCUUACCCGCCCC